GACGAACGCUGGCGGCGUGCUUAACACAUGCAAGUCGAACGGAAAGGCCCUUUCGGGGGUACUCGAGUGGCGAACGGGUGAGUAACACGUGGGUGAUCUGCCCUGCACUUCGGGAUAAGCCUGGGAAACUGGGUCUAAUACCGGAUAGGACUACGAAUCGCAUGGUUUGUGGUGGAAAGCUUUUGCGGUGUGGGAUGGGCCCGCGGCCUAUCAGCUUGUUGGUGAGGUUACGGCUCACCAAGGCGACGACGGGUAGCCGGCCUGAGAGGGUGACCGGCCACACUGGGACUGAGAUACGGCCCAGACUCCUACGGGAGGCAGCAGUGGGGAAUAUUGCACAAUGGGCGCAAGCCUGAUGCAGCGACGCCGCGUGAGGGAUGACGGCCUUCGGGUUGUAAACCUCUUUCAGUAGGGACGAAGCGAAAGUGACGGUACCUGCAGAAGAAGGACCGGCCAACUACGUGCCAGCCGCCGCCGUAACAC
Molecule: ribosomal RNA, 483 nt
Filed under: uncultured bacterium
Lineage: Bacteria
Description: bacterial SSU rRNA
Rfam family: Bacterial small subunit ribosomal RNA
Source: RNAcentral